Molecule: ribosomal RNA, 435 nt
Filed under: uncultured bacterium
Lineage: Bacteria
Description: partial 16S ribosomal RNA
Rfam family: Bacterial small subunit ribosomal RNA
Source: RNAcentral
AGCGAACGCUGGCGGCAGGCUUAACACUUGCAAGUCGAACGGGCAUCUUCGGAUGUCAGUGGCAGACGGGUGAGUAACACGUGGGAACGUACCCUUCGGUUCGGAAUAACUCAGGGAAACUUGAGCUAAUACCGGAUACGCCCUUUUGGGGAAAGGUUUACUGCCGAAGGAUCGGCCCGCGUCUGAUUAGCUUGUUGGUGGGGUAACGGCCUACCAAGGCGACGAUCAGUAGCUGGUCUGAGAGGAUGAUCAGCCACACUGGGACUGAGACACGGCCCAGACUCCUACGGGAGGCAGCAGUGGGGAAUAUUGGACAAUGGGCGCAAGCCUGAUCCAGCCAUGCCGCGUGAGUGAUGAAGGCCUUAGGGUUGUAAAGCUCUUUUGUCCGGGACGAUAAUGACGGUACCGGAAGAAUAAGCCCCGGCUAACUUCGUG